UAAAUAUCAACACACCCAAGUUGGGUACGCAUAUCUAUUAAGAGUUUGAAAUCAACUACUCGAUCGCCAACAAUUAUUAGGUUGCAUCCACAUAUCCAUUGCCAACCAUUUGAUACAAGAGUUAGAUGUGCCUACAUUAAGUUAGAACAUAUCCAAGGCAUAUAUCUCUCAACUAAUUAAAAAUAGUCCAAUUCUGAAACUUGCACUAAAACCGCUAUAUAAGAGGCCGAGUGGUGCAAAAGUCAUGCAUUAAAACAUACCGACAGUACUCCACAACAUAGAACAUGACCAACCGUAAAGUAGCUGGAGUGUUAUGCCUCCUAGUCUUUUUGGCCAUCUAUUCUUGUUCGCGCAAUGCACAAGCAAUCCAUGGAGUAGAUCACUGCACCAUCGAUAAAAAUAACGUGAUGCGAGACUGCUCGGGUAUCAUCGAAAAGAAUCUUGGUAACCAGGUUCCGCAACCGUGGACCCUAUGUUGUGGUGCAAUAAGAGGUGUGACGGACAUCCACUCGUCUGUGAUCGGUUCACCGCUCACGAACUGACUAGGAUCAGUCUACCCAAGUUCGCCUGUAUUACACAUGUAUGCGGCAAAGGGUUGCACCCCCACACUCAUUGUGCAGGUUACCUUGUUCCGGUCAUAAAGCGACGACGUCCACCCCCGGCAAGUACCUAGGCCUUCAGUGUAAGAACAUUCUCAUAAUGGGAAUAAUUGAAUAAAGCAAAGAAUGAUGUCAGCUGAAUGGCAUAUGCAUAAUGUAUUUGUCCUCUUUUGGUGUGUAAUAAAAAUGUUGCGCACAACCUCAUCAAUUGUGGUUGUUUGCAUUGGUAUGAUCA
This is a long non-coding RNA of Aegilops tauschii subsp. strangulata, 834 nucleotides long. RefSeq lists it as uncharacterized. Lineage: Eukaryota; Viridiplantae; Streptophyta; Magnoliopsida; Poales; Poaceae. The record is from RefSeq and is a predicted model, not a curated record.